AGUGAACGCUGGCGGCAGGCCUAAUACAUGCAAGUCGAACGGCAGCACAGUGGAGCUUGCUCCAUGGGUGGCGAGUGGCGGACGGGUGAGGAAUACAUGGGAAUCUGCCCAGUCGUGGGGGAUAACGUAGGGAAACUUACGCUAAUACCGCAUGCGCCCUUCGGGGAAAGCCGGGGACCGUAAGGCCUGGCGCGAUUGGAUGAGCCCAUGUCGGAUUAGCUAGUUGGCGGGGUAACGGCCCACCAAGGCGACGAUCCGUAGCUGGUCUGAGAGGAUGAUCAGCCACACUGGAACUGAGACACGGUCCAGACUCCUACGGGAGGCAGCAGUAGGGAAUAUUGGACAAUGGGCGCAAGCCUGAUCCAGCCAUGCCGCGUGAGUGAAGAAGGCCCUCGGGUUGUAAAGCUCUUUUGUCCGGAAAGAAAAGCACUGGGUUAAUACCCCGGUGUCCUGACGGUACCGGAAGAAUAAGCACCGGCUAACUU
This 485-nucleotide ribosomal RNA is filed under the name uncultured bacterium. RNAcentral's name for it is "bacterial SSU rRNA". It matches the Rfam family "Bacterial small subunit ribosomal RNA", at positions 29 to 503 of the family's 1533-position model. The record is from RNAcentral.